Molecule: long non-coding RNA, 655 nt
Filed under: Monodelphis domestica (gray short-tailed opossum)
Lineage: Eukaryota; Metazoa; Chordata; Mammalia; Didelphimorphia; Didelphidae
Description: lncRNA (ENSMODG00000042696.1)
Source: RNAcentral
AUGUCCUUCUCCAGCCAAGAUUGUGAGAUGAGCCUGGUGGUUAGAGCAUUUGGUGGGAGUGAGACUGUCAAUGCAGAUGGGCUAAGGGUGCUAGUGAGGGCUUUGUUUAAGAGCCACAAAGCAAGGUUGGCCUUUCUCGGGACUUCUUUCUCCUUAUCCAGCUCUUUUUCUCCAGAUCCAGCCCUUCCCCAAGAUAGUAGCCUGGAGGAGAAGGAAGGAGAGACUUCUGGAGUCCUGGCUGCCAGGUUUCAGGGAUUCCCGUUUCUAAGCCAGAUUUGCUCCUUCUGUUGAAGAGAGAAGAUGUAUGGAAUCUAGAGGGAGAAGUUUGUAUAGGCAUUUGUCCAGAUUCCAUUAUUAAAGAGACAUAGAUUGAAACCAAGGAUUCAAAUCUGAAGCAAGUCAUCUGUUUGGAAGCCUUAUCUCAUCAAAAACUGGGAAAAAAUAUAGUUUGGCAUUCCAAGAUUGUAAGGCUCAGCACCAGGGUCGGCCAGCCCUGUGUGACCUUACAUGGGGUAACGAAAAGUGAAGAGUAACGAAUGGACGCUAUAUGAAAAUGCAUAGCGACAAAGUUUAUUGGAUUUACACAAAGCAUAUAAAGGAAAAAACCACAGGAAUGUAUGACUUUACAGCCCAGCACCAGCAGGAACCAAUAAUU